This 497-nucleotide ribosomal RNA is filed under the name uncultured bacterium. RNAcentral describes it as "partial 16S ribosomal RNA". It matches the Rfam family "Bacterial small subunit ribosomal RNA", at positions 28 to 507 of the family's 1533-position model. The record is from RNAcentral.
GAUGAACGCUGGCGGCGUGCCUAAUACAUGCAAGUCGAGCGAACAGAUGAUGAGCUUGCUCCUCUGACGUUAGCGGCGGACGGGUGAGUAACACGUGGAUAACCCACCUAUAAGACUGGGAUAACUUCGGGAAACCGGCGCUAAUACCGUAUAAUAUAUUGAACCGCAUGGUUCAAUAGUGAAAGACGGUUUUGCUGUCACUUAUAGAUGGAUCCGCGCCGCAUUAGCGAGUUGUUCAGGUAACGGCUUACCAAGGCAACGAUGCGUAGCCGACGUGAGAGGGUGAUCGGCCACCCGGGAAGGGAGACACGGUCCAGACUACUACGGGAGGCAGCAGAAGGGAAUCUUACGCAAUAGGCGAAAGCCUGACGGAGCAACGGCGCGUGAGUGAUGAAGGUCUUCGGAUCGUAAAACUCUGUUAUUAGGGAAGAACAAAUGUGUAAGUAAAUAUGCACGUCUUGACGGUACCUAAUCAGAAAGCCCCGGCUAACUACGUG